GUGCACCAGGCGCGAAACCUCCGCAAUACACGAAAGUGUGACGGGGCCAUCCCGAGUGCCGUCCGCUGAGGACGGCUUUUCCCCAGUGUACACAGCUGGGGGAAUAAGGAGAGGGCAAGCCUGGUGUCAGCCGCCGCGGUAAUACCAGCUCUCCGAGUGGUGGGGACGCUUAUUGGGCCUAAAGCAUCCGUAGCCGGCUGGGCAAGUCCUCCGUUAAAUCCAACGAUUCAAUCGUUGGGCUGCGGGGGAUACUGUCCAGCUUGGGGGCGGGAGAGGCCGACGGUAUUCCCGGGGUAGGGGUGAAAUCCUAUAAUCCCGGGAGGACCACCAGUGGCGAAGGCUGUCGGCUAGAACGCGCCCGACGGUGAGGGAUGAAAGCUGGGGGAGCGAACCGGAUUA
This 399-nucleotide ribosomal RNA is filed under the name uncultured microorganism. Its description in RNAcentral is "bacterial SSU rRNA". It matches the Rfam family "Archaeal small subunit ribosomal RNA", at positions 330 to 731 of the family's 1478-position model. The record is from RNAcentral.